GGGGCCCGCACAAGCGGCGGAGCAUGUUGCUUAUUUUGACGCAACGCGAAGAACCUUACCAAGGUUUGACAUCACCCGUGGACUCGCAGAGAUGUGAGGUCAUUUAGUUGGCGGGUGACAGGUGGUGCAUGGCUGUCGUCAGCUCGUGUCGUGAGAUGUUGGGUUAAGUCCCGCAACGAGCGCAACCCUUGUUCCAUGUUGCCAGCACGUAAUGGUGGGGACUCAUGGGAGACUGCCGGGGUCAACUCGGAGGAAGGUGGGGAUGACGUCAAGUCAUCAUGCCCCUUAUGUCUUGGGCUGCAAACAUGCUACAAUGGCCGGUACAAUGGGCGUGCGAUACCGUAAGGUGGAGCGAAUCCCUAAAAGCCGGUCUCAGUUCGGAUUGGGGUCUGCAACUCGACCCCAUGAAGGUGGAGUCGCUAGUAAUCGCGGAUCAGCAACGCCGCGGUGAAUACGUUCCCGGGCGUUGUACACACCGCCCGUCACGUCAUGAAAGUCGGCAACACCCGAA
RNAcentral lists this ribosomal RNA (511 nucleotides) under Nocardiopsis sp. RNAcentral describes it as "bacterial SSU rRNA". It matches the Rfam family "Bacterial small subunit ribosomal RNA", at positions 916 to 1425 of the family's 1533-position model. RNAcentral also lists the same sequence under 1 other name. Lineage: Bacteria; Bacillati; Actinomycetota; Actinomycetes; Streptosporangiales; Nocardiopsidaceae. The record is from RNAcentral.